GACGAACGCUGGCGGCGUGCUUAACACAUGCAAGUCGAACGGAAAGGCCCUGCUUUUGUGGGGUGCUCGAGUGGCGAACGGGUGAGUAACACGUGAGUAACCUGCCCCUGACUUUGGGAUAACUUUAGGAAACUGGGGCUAAUACCGGAUAGGAGCUCCUGCUGCAUGGUGGGGGUUGGAAAGUUUCGGCGGUUGGGGAUGGACUCGCGGCUUAUCAGCUUGUUGGUGGGGUAGUGGCUUACCAAGGCUUUGACGGGUAGCCGGCCUGAUAGGGUGACCGGCCACAUUGGGACUGGGGUACGGCCCAGACUCCUACGGGAGGCAGCGGUGGAGACUAGUGCACAAAAGGCGGAAGCGUGAAGCAGCAACGCCGCGUACGAGAAGACGGCCUUCGGGGAGUAAACAACUUUCACCUAAAACGAAACGUGAGGAACGGAAAUGGGUAAAGAAGCACCGGCUAACUACGU
This 467-nucleotide ribosomal RNA is filed under the name uncultured bacterium. RNAcentral describes it as "partial 16S ribosomal RNA". It matches the Rfam family "Bacterial small subunit ribosomal RNA", at positions 28 to 506 of the family's 1533-position model. The record is from RNAcentral.